AGCUCCAAUAGCGUAUAUUAAAAUUGUUGCAGUUAAAAAGCUCGUAGUUGGAUUUCUGGUUUGAGCGUCCGGUCGGCCUUGUGCUUGUACUAUGGAUGUUUGGGCCAUAUUUUGUGAGGAUGCCUUUCUGCCAUUGAGUUGGUGGUUGGGUGGACUUGCAUCGUUUACUGUGAAAAAAUUAGAGUGUUUAAAGCAGGCGUUUGCUCAUUUGAAUACAUUAGCAUGGAAUAAUAAGAUACGACCUUGGUGGUCUAUUUUGUUGGUUUGCACGCCAGGGUAAUGAUUAAUAGGGACAGUUGGGGGUAUUCAUAUUUCAACGUCAGAGGUGAAAUUCUUGGAUCGUUGAAAGAUGAGCUUAGGCGAAAGCAUUUACCAAGGAUGUUUUCA
RNAcentral lists this ribosomal RNA (387 nucleotides) under uncultured eukaryote. RNAcentral's name for it is "SSU rRNA". It matches the Rfam family "Eukaryotic small subunit ribosomal RNA", at positions 587 to 972 of the family's 1831-position model. The record is from RNAcentral.